UACGUAGGAGGCAAGCGUUGUCCGGAAUUACUGGGCGUAAAGCGCGUGUAGGUGGUGGGACAAGUCUGCUGUGAAAGCGCCUGGCUUAACCGGGCGAGGUCGGCGGAAACUGUCCGACUCGAGGACGGUAGAGGGGGGUGGAAUUCCCGGUGUAGUGGUGAAAUGCGUAGAGAUCGGGAGGAACACCUGUGGCGAAGGCGACCAUCUGGACGGAUACUGACGCUGAGACGCGAAAGCGUGGGUAGCAAACAGG
Molecule: ribosomal RNA, 253 nt
Filed under: uncultured bacterium
Lineage: Bacteria
Description: partial 16S ribosomal RNA
Rfam family: Bacterial small subunit ribosomal RNA
Source: RNAcentral